Molecule: long non-coding RNA, 431 nt
Organism: Cygnus atratus (black swan)
Lineage: Eukaryota; Metazoa; Chordata; Aves; Anseriformes; Anatidae
Exons: 2
Source: RefSeq, a predicted model, not a curated record
UUUUCUCCUGGUUCCUGCUGCACCAGGUAGAGUGGAGAAAGGAGAAGAGCAAGAGGAAAACCGCCAGAAGAAUCAAGCUGCUGGUUCUCUCAUGGCCGAGAGAAAGUUCAGCUGUGGAAUGGAUGCAAGUGAGAGCGAAGCAAGUGCCCUGAAGAACACAGAGGAAUUGUGCAGUGACCUGAGGAGAACAGAACUGAAGCUGCUAUGAAGAAUGAAAGGAGACAAAGUGCUAGCAGACUGAAAAAAAUAGAUCCAGCCAAAGCAUGGGGAGAAACUGCUAAGCAGCAGCAUUAACAAAACCUAAGAGUCUGCUUUUGUCUUGUUUCCAUACCUUUGCAAUUACUGUGCCAACUAUAAAUAAACCUACCACAGGUCAGCAGAUAGGUUUGAAUCUUGUUCUGUAAGAUUAUGAAUAAAGACAUGCAAUGGCA